GAUGAACGCUGGCGGCGUGCCUAAUACAUGCAAGUCGAGCGAACAGACGAGGAGCUUGCUCCUCUGACGUUAGCGGCGGACGGGUGAGUAACACGUGGAUAACCUACCUAUAAGACUGGGAUAACUUCGGGAAACCGGAGCUAAUACCGGAUAAUAUAUUGAACCGCAUGGUUCAAUAGUGAAAGACGGUUUUGCUGGCACUUAUAGAUGGAUCCGCGCCGCAUUAGCUGGUUGGUAAGGUAACGGCUUACCAAGGCGACGAUGCGUAGACGACCGGGGAGGGGGGUAGGCCGCACUAGAGCGUAGACGGGGACCAUAGGCCUGCGGGAGGCAGCAGUAGGGUAUCGGCCGCAGUAGUGGGAAGCCUUACAGAGUGGCGCCGCGUGAGUGAUAAAAGUGUUCGGAGCGGAAAACUCUGUUAUUGGUUAAAAACAAAUUUGUAGUGAACUGUGCACGGCGUGACGGUACCGGGUCAGAAAGCCACGGCUAACUACGUG
Molecule: ribosomal RNA, 497 nt
Filed under: uncultured bacterium
Lineage: Bacteria
Description: partial 16S ribosomal RNA
Rfam family: Bacterial small subunit ribosomal RNA
Source: RNAcentral